RNAcentral lists this ribosomal RNA (301 nucleotides) under uncultured bacterium. RNAcentral's name for it is "partial 16S ribosomal RNA". It matches the Rfam family "Bacterial small subunit ribosomal RNA", at positions 509 to 807 of the family's 1533-position model. The record is from RNAcentral.
CAGCAGCCGCGGGAAUACGUAGGGGGCAAGCGUUAUCCGGAAUUACUGGGUGUAAAGGGAGCGUAGACGGUUAAACAAGUCUGAAGUGAAAUGCCGGGGCUCAACCCCGGAGCUGCUUUGGGAACUGUAGAACUGGAGUGUCGGAGGGGUAAGCGGAAUUCCCAGUGUAGCGGUGAAAUGCGUAGAUAUUGGGAGGAACACCGGCGGCGAAGGCGGCUUACUGGACGGCAACUGACGUUGAGGCUCGAAGGCGUGGGUAGCAAACUGGAUUAGAUACCCCCGUAGUCCCUGUCUCUUAUAC